AGUGAACGCUGGCGGUAUGCCUAACACAUGCAAGUCGAACGGCAGCACAGUAAGAUCUUGCUCUUACGGGUGGCGAGUGGCGGACGGGUGAGGAAUACAUCGUAAUCUACUUUUUCGUGGGGGAUAACGUAGGGAAACUUACUCUAAUACCGCAUACGACCUACGGGUGAAAGCAGUGGAUCUUCUGACCUUGCGCGAUUGAAUGAGCCGAUGUCGGAUUAGCUAGUUGGCGGGGUAAAGGCCCACCAAGGCGACGAUCCGUAGCUGGUCUGAGAGGAUGAUCGGCCACACUGGAACUGAACCACGGUCCAGACUCCUACGGGAGGCAGCAGUGGGGAAUAUUGGGCAAUGGGCGCAAGCCUGAUCCAGCCAUACCGCGUGGGUGAAGAAGGCCUUCGGGUUGUAAAGCCCUUUUGUUGGGAAAGAAAAGCAGCAGGUUAAUACGCAGCUGUUCUGACGGUACCCAAAGAAUAAGCACCGGCUAACUUCGUG
This 492-nucleotide ribosomal RNA is filed under the name uncultured bacterium. RNAcentral describes it as "partial 16S ribosomal RNA". It matches the Rfam family "Bacterial small subunit ribosomal RNA", at positions 29 to 507 of the family's 1533-position model. The record is from RNAcentral.